AGGGUGAUUCGCUCUAUCUCACAGCUCGGUUCUAUGAGCGUCGAAGAACUUUCUUAGAAUAACGUCAAUGUCCCAUUGUUAACGUUCCAAGAUGUCCUUUUUCGCUUAACCUUCAUUUUUUACGCCGUGAGCUUCGGCCGAGCGCACCUGCAUUAUUUCUUUAGCGUGAAGUCAGUCGCACGAGGGUAAACAGUAGAAAGACUGUGCGGCGGGUAAGAAUUUAAAUCCGUACUAGGAUCGCUCGUUGUAAACGCGUAUAUCGCGUGGAAAAAUGCAGUAAAUAUUUAUCAAAGAUAAUCAUACGAAGAUAACUCCUCGGAGUGUAUUUAUGCAAACGCAGUGUAGUUUAGCAGGGUUGUUAAUGGCGUCCCCCAACCCCGUCAUAAAUAAAGGAUUGAACAGUUUAUGACUGAAUAAAAUUGUAAUGGUACGGUUAGGGGGGCGCUGCUCUUUUGGCAGCCAUAUUGGACAAAUAAAAGUGAUAUCUGAGAACGGAAUAUCGUCAGCGUUAUACAGUCAGUCGCUGAAUCGAGUCUGGAUUAUAUAUUUAGAUAUUUUAUAACUGACUAAGCGAAUUACUAAGACUGACAGGGAGAAUCAAAACUUCAUCAUUGAUUAUAUUAAUGCAACAUCCAGUCGGUACUGUCAUGCAAAUGGCGAAGAUCAUUUUGCCAGUGACGAGUUAAACAUUUAAAGGAGAAUCAAAGCUGGCACGAUCCACUUUCAUUGUUUAUUCAUACAGCAAAGCGCCAUGAUUUGAAGACGUUACACUUGAAGGUAUUGCUGCUACCGUCACGAGCAAUGUAACUGAAGAUUUUCAAAUCAUGGCUGUCGUGAGAGACGUAGAAUAUCCUGAAAAUAAAAAAGAUAUCUUAUUCGAAGCCGAUGAGUAU
This is a long non-coding RNA of Cephus cinctus (wheat stem sawfly), 893 nucleotides long. RefSeq lists it as uncharacterized. The record is from RefSeq and is a predicted model, not a curated record. NCBI's taxonomy places the organism in Eukaryota, Metazoa, Arthropoda, Insecta, Hymenoptera, Cephidae. The transcript is spliced from 4 exons.